UACGAAGGGUGCAAGCGUUAAUCGGAAUUACUGGGCGUAAAGCGUGCGUAGGCGGUUUGUUAAGUCAGAUGUGAAAGCCCCGGGCUCAACCUGGGAACUGCAUUUGAUACUGGCAGGCUAGAGUACGGUAGAGGGUGGUGGAAUUCCCGGUGUAGCGGUGAAAUGCGUAGAGAUCGGGAGGAACAUCCGUGGCGAAGGCGGCCACCUGGACCAGUACUGACGCUGAGGCACGAAAGCGUGGGGAGCAAACAGG
This 253-nucleotide ribosomal RNA is filed under the name uncultured bacterium. RNAcentral's name for it is "partial 16S ribosomal RNA". It matches the Rfam family "Bacterial small subunit ribosomal RNA", at positions 524 to 776 of the family's 1533-position model. RNAcentral also lists the same sequence under 1 other name. The record is from RNAcentral.